ACCUGGAUGUUUGGGUGCUUUGUUUGUUUUUUGUUCAUUGGUUAUUACAUGACCUCCAGGGUAGGUGCUCCACAAAGGGAGUGAAAAGAGGACGCCUGAUAUAUACGCAUUGGGCCAUUCUAGAAAAACAGCUUGGGGUUCUCUCGGAAACGCGGCAUUGGUCCUUGCACUAUGGUUUAAUUGAAAAGGGAUUAUGCACCAAGUUACUUAAGUGAGCAUAGGUUGAAAUCUUGUUCAUCCCCUA
Mustela erminea (ermine) is the source of this 244-nucleotide long non-coding RNA. RefSeq lists it as uncharacterized. NCBI's taxonomy places the organism in Eukaryota, Metazoa, Chordata, Mammalia, Carnivora, Mustelidae. The record is from RefSeq and is a predicted model, not a curated record. The transcript is spliced from 3 exons.